AUCUCCAACAUCACUCAUUCUCUCUUCUUCCUUGAGAUAUCAAAAUUCACUCUUCUUCUUCGAUACCAUAACAAAUCUUUCAUUCUCUUGUCUUUUUGUAAACACAACUAUCGUUUUUGAUCUUUCAUUCUCUCGUCUUUUCAACAAACAAACAACUAUCGUAACAUUGAUCCCCAUCCUCUCUUGUGACUCAUCUUCAACCCGAUCCAAACGAUUUCAAAUCCGGUCAACGACGGGCCACCGAAACGCUUUCACCGACUGCCAAGGAGAGCACCAAGACAAUGAUACAAACAACUAUCGUAACAUUGAUCUCCAUCCAAACAUACAAUGAUACAAACAACUAUCGUAACAUUGAUCUCCAUCCUCUCUUGUGACUCACCUUCAACCCGAUCCAAACGAUUUCACCGACGGCCAAGGAAAGAGGAAAACGAAGAAAGAGACAAAGAGAGACGGUGUUUCCAUGGCUCUGUUUUGUGUCG
RNAcentral lists this long non-coding RNA (479 nucleotides) under Arabidopsis lyrata. RNAcentral describes it as "long non-coding RNA (ALYR_LNC002931)". The record is from RNAcentral. Lineage: Eukaryota; Viridiplantae; Streptophyta; Magnoliopsida; Brassicales; Brassicaceae.